This 487-nucleotide ribosomal RNA is filed under the name Obelia dichotoma (sea thread hydroid). RNAcentral's name for it is "partial large subunit ribosomal RNA". It matches the Rfam family "Bacterial large subunit ribosomal RNA", at positions 1840 to 2498 of the family's 2925-position model. Lineage: Eukaryota; Metazoa; Cnidaria; Hydrozoa; Leptothecata; Obeliidae. The record is from RNAcentral.
AUAAAAUCUAAGGUGUAACCUGCCCAGUGGUUUUAAAAUAAUAAUUUAAAAAUUUAAAAAUAAAACUAAAAGGACGCGGUAACCUUGACCGUGAUAAUGUAGCAUAAUCACUCGCCAUUUAAUUGAUGGAUAGUAUGAAUGGUUGAACGAAUAUUCCACUGUCUUAAAGAGAAUUAAAAGAAAUUGAAAUAAUAGUUAAGAUGCUAUUUUAAACUGUAAGACGAAAAGACCCUAUAGAGCUUAACUAUAAACUUUUUAUAAAAAAUUAAAAAUAAAUUUAUCAAUUAAAAAGUUUGGUAGUUUAGUUGGGGCGACUAUCUUCUAAAAAUAACGAAGAUAAGCAAUAUUAAUAAAAAAUUUAUUGUAUAAAUAAAAAUUUUAACAAUUAUCAUAGUAGGCUAUAAUGACCCGUUUUUACUAAAAAAUAAGAAAAACGAUCAAUUAAUAAAAGCUACCUUAGGGAUAACAGGAUAAUUUCAUUUUAGAG